Long non-coding RNA from Myotis brandtii (Brandt's bat), 105 nucleotides. RefSeq lists it as uncharacterized. The record is from RefSeq and is a predicted model, not a curated record. Lineage: Eukaryota; Metazoa; Chordata; Mammalia; Chiroptera; Vespertilionidae. The transcript is spliced from 3 exons.
GUCAGAGAAAGACAAAUAUCAGAACAAGACAGGGAUGUCUGCUUUUACCACUCUUAUGCAACAUAAUAUGGGAAAUCCUAGCCACAGAAAUCACACUACAAGAAA